This is a long non-coding RNA of Pezoporus occidentalis (night parrot), 304 nucleotides long. RefSeq lists it as uncharacterized. The transcript has 2 exons. The record is from RefSeq and is a predicted model, not a curated record. Lineage: Eukaryota; Metazoa; Chordata; Aves; Psittaciformes; Psittacidae.
AGGUCACAACCUCCUAUUGUUCCAAGCCACUGUCCCGUCUUAAAUGAACAAGUUCUGCUUAAUGCCGCAAGCCAAACAUUAAUCUUCAUGCUACGUCCUUCAGUGAAGUCCCCCUGAGCUUGCAGAUCUCUAGCUGCUAAAGGAUGUCUGACACCAGCAGCAGAAGAUGUAUUGAUCUGGUCAUAACAAAUUAAGGCUGCUGAAGAGCAGAUGUUAAAAACAGACUUCUUGGCAUGUAUCAGCCCCUGGUGGUAUCAGUUGCACACAUGUUCCAGUUUAUUUAUUAAAGCCAUUGCUCUCUUCA